RNAcentral lists this ribosomal RNA (253 nucleotides) under uncultured bacterium. Its description in RNAcentral is "partial 16S ribosomal RNA". It matches the Rfam family "Bacterial small subunit ribosomal RNA", at positions 524 to 776 of the family's 1533-position model. The record is from RNAcentral.
UACAGAGGUCCCAAGCGUUGUUCGGAUUCACUGGGCGUAAAGGGUGCGUAGGCGGUCGGGUAAGUCUGACGUGAAAUCUUCAAGCUCAACUUGGAAACUGCGUCCGAUACUAUUCGGCUAGAGGAAUGGAGGGGAGACUGGAAUACUUGGUGUAGCAGUGAAAUGCGUAGAUAUCAUGAGGAAGACCAGUGGCGAAGGCGGGUCUCUGGACAGUUCCUGACACUGAGACACGAAGGCCAGGGGAGCAAACGGG